This 253-nucleotide ribosomal RNA is filed under the name uncultured bacterium. Its description in RNAcentral is "partial 16S ribosomal RNA". It matches the Rfam family "Bacterial small subunit ribosomal RNA", at positions 524 to 776 of the family's 1533-position model. The record is from RNAcentral.
UACGUAGGGGGCAAGCGUUGUCCGGAAUUAUUGGGCGUAAAGAGCUCGUAGGCGGUCUGUCGCGUCGGCUGUGAAAACUCAGGGCUCAACCCUGAGCCUGCAGUCGAUACGGGCAGACUAGAGUUCGGUAGGGGAGACUGGAAUUCCUGGUGUAGCGGUGAAAUGCGCAGAUAUCAGGAGGAACACCGGUGGCGAAGGCGGGUCUCUGGGCCGAAACUGACGCUGAGGAGCGAAAGCGUGGGGAGCGAACAGG